AGAAAUCAAAGGACGGGCUUGCGGAGAUUGGACCUGAAGAACAUGAAUCAUCAGGAGAACAGACGCUACUCCGCGACCAGCAUCUCCAAUCUCCGCAAGGCGAUGUUUCAACAGAUCCAAUAAUGGAGGUCGAUGAGUCGCUGCCACCAUGCGAGGACGGGAGUACAAUCUGCGUCGAGGCAGAACAACUCCAGACCUUAGCAGAUUCAGAUACUGACGGAGAAACUGAUGGAGAAAAAGUUUUCUCAAUUCCGGAUUUUACUCUGCCUCAAGGUCGCGAAGCACAGCCGCAAACAAGGAGAGCAGCUGACCAUCCUCCUGUUCAAAAUGGUGCGUGGGAAACAAGGUAAUUGAAUGGGCACUUACCAGCGUGUUGUUACAUCCGGAUUCCUGAAACAAUAUUACUAUAUAUAUCUCCUCCUCAUUUCUAAUUUGACUUCAAACUGAAUAUUCUGAAUUCCUGGUCGUUGAUGUGCUUUA
RNAcentral lists this long non-coding RNA (480 nucleotides) under Hordeum vulgare. RNAcentral describes it as "long non-coding RNA (HVUL_LNC006495)". Lineage: Eukaryota; Viridiplantae; Streptophyta; Magnoliopsida; Poales; Poaceae. The record is from RNAcentral.